GAGCUCACUUUGGCAGCACAUAUACUGCAAUUAGAAGGAUACAGGGAAGAUUGGCAUGGCCCCAUGCGAGGAGGACAUGCAAACUUACAAAGCACUCCAUAGUUUU
Myotis davidii is the source of this 106-nucleotide non-coding RNA. The record is from Rfam. Lineage: Eukaryota; Metazoa; Chordata; Mammalia; Chiroptera; Vespertilionidae.